Molecule: ribosomal RNA, 506 nt
Filed under: uncultured bacterium
Lineage: Bacteria
Description: partial 16S ribosomal RNA
Rfam family: Bacterial small subunit ribosomal RNA
Source: RNAcentral
AGUGAACGCUGGCGGUAGGCCUAACACAUGCAAGUCGAACGGCAGCACAGAGGAGCUUGCUCCUUGGGUGGCGAGUGGCGGACGGGUGAGGAAUACAUCGGAAUCUACUCUGUCGUGGGGGAUAACGUAGGGGAACUUACGCUAAUACCGCAUACGACCUACGGGUGAAAGCAGGGGAUCUACGGACCUUGCGCGAUUGAAUGAGCCGAUGUCGGAUUAGCUAGUUGGCGGGGUAAAGGCCCACCAAGGCGACGAUCCGUAGCUGGUCUGAGAGGAUGAUCAGCCCCACUGGAACUGAGACACGGUCCAGACUCCUACGGGAGGCAGCAGUGGGGAAUAUUGGACAAUGGGCGCAAGCCUGAUCCAGCCAUACCGCGUGGGUGAAGAAGGCCUUCGGGUUGUAAAGCCCUUUUGUUGGGAAAGAAAUCCAUCUGGUUAAUACCCGGGUGGGAUGACGGUACCCAAAGAAUAAGCACCGGCUAACUUCGUGCCAGCAGCCGCCGUAA